RNAcentral lists this small RNA (40 nucleotides) under Plasmodium falciparum 3D7. RNAcentral describes it as "Pfa-starR6784". The record is from RNAcentral. Lineage: Eukaryota; Apicomplexa; Aconoidasida; Haemosporida; Plasmodiidae.
AUCAAAGUUAAUAUGGGAUAUGUUGGGUCAUUUUAUGUGU